This 301-nucleotide ribosomal RNA is filed under the name uncultured bacterium. RNAcentral's name for it is "partial 16S ribosomal RNA". It matches the Rfam family "Bacterial small subunit ribosomal RNA", at positions 509 to 807 of the family's 1533-position model. The record is from RNAcentral.
CAGUCGCCGCGGUAAUACGAAGGGUGCAAGCGUUAAUCGGAAUUACUGGGCGUAAAGCGUGCGUAGGCGGUUUGUUAAGUCUGUUGUGAAAUCCCCGGGCUCAACCUGGGAAUGGCAAUGGAUACUGGCAAGCUAGAGUGUGUCAGAGGAUGGUGGAAUUCCCGGUGUAGCGGUGAAACGCGUAGAGAUCGGGAGGAACAUCAGUGGCGAAGGCGGCCAUCUGGGACAACACUGACGCUGAGGCACGAAAGCGUGGGGAGCAAACAGGAUUAGAUACCCGAGUAGUCCCUGUCUCUUAUAC